This 60-nucleotide transfer RNA is filed under the name Schistocephalus solidus. Its description in RNAcentral is "tRNA-Arg". The record is from RNAcentral. Lineage: Eukaryota; Metazoa; Platyhelminthes; Cestoda; Diphyllobothriidea; Diphyllobothriidae.
CUAGUAUACUAAAGUCUAUGUUACGGCCAUAGAGUAGAUGUUAGCGCAUCAUAUACUUUU